CAAUUAUUUGCUUUGUUUGAGCUAUGAUUGUUUCCUGAUAUGUUUGAUGAUGCAGAGAAUUUUAUUCCUUCAAAUCCUUUAGUUACUCUUAUUCAUAUUAA
Molecule: long non-coding RNA, 101 nt
Organism: Octopus sinensis (East Asian common octopus)
Lineage: Eukaryota; Metazoa; Mollusca; Cephalopoda; Octopoda; Octopodidae
Exons: 4
Source: RefSeq, a predicted model, not a curated record